Molecule: ribosomal RNA, 301 nt
Filed under: uncultured bacterium
Lineage: Bacteria
Description: partial 16S ribosomal RNA
Rfam family: Bacterial small subunit ribosomal RNA
Source: RNAcentral
CAGUAGCCGCGGUAAAACGUAGGGUGCGAGCGUUAAUCGGAAUUACUGGGCGUAAAGCGUGCGCAGGCGGUUGUGUAAGUCAGAUGUGAAAUCCCCGAGCUUAACUUGGGAACUGCAUUUGAAACUGGCAAGCUAGAGUCUUGUAGAGGGGGGUAGAAUUCCAGGUGUAGCGGUGAAAUGCGUAGAGAUCUGGAGGAAUACCGGUGGCGAAGGCGGCCCCCUGGACAAAGACUGACGCUCAGGUGCGAAAGCGUGGGGAGCAAACAGGAUUAGAUACCCCUGUAGUCCCUGUCUCUUAUAC